AUUGAACGCUGGCGGCAGGCUUAACACAUGCAAGUCGAGCGGGGUGAUGGUGCUUGCACUAUCACUUAGCGGCGGACGGGUGAGUAAUGCUUAGGAAUCUGCCUAUUAGUGGGGGACAACAUCUCGAAAGGGAUGCUAAUACCGCAUACGUCCUACGGGAGAAAGCAGGGGAUCACUUGUGACCUUGCGCUAAUAGAUGAGCCUAAGUCGGAUUAGCUAGUUGGUGGGGUAAAGGCCUACCAAGGCGACGAUCUGUAGCGGGUCUGAGAGGAUGAUCCGCCACACUGGGACUGAGACGCGGCCCAGACUCCUACGGGAGGCAGCAGUGGGGAAUAUUGGACAAUGGGGGGAACCCUGAUCCAGCCACGCCGCGUGUGUGAAGAAGGCCUUAUGGUUGUAAAGCACUUUAAGCGAGGAGGAGGCUCUUUUGGUUAAUACCCAAGAUGAGUGGACGUUACUCGCAGAAUAAGCACCGGCUAACUCUGUGCCGGCAGCCGCCGCCG
RNAcentral lists this ribosomal RNA (503 nucleotides) under uncultured bacterium. RNAcentral describes it as "partial 16S ribosomal RNA". It matches the Rfam family "Bacterial small subunit ribosomal RNA", at positions 30 to 523 of the family's 1533-position model. The record is from RNAcentral.